AAAGCGCGCGUAGGCGGCUAAUUAAGUCAAAUGUGAAAUCCCCGAGCUUAACUUGGGAAUUGCAUUCGAUACUGGUUAGCUAGAGUGUGGGAGAGGAUGGUAGAAUUCCAGGUGUAGCGGUGAAAUGCGUAGAGAUCUGGAGGAAUACCGAUGGCGAAGGCAGCCAUCUGGCCUAACACUGACGCUGAGGUGCGAAAGCAUGGGGAGCAAACAGGAUUAGAUACCCCAGU
This 230-nucleotide ribosomal RNA is filed under the name uncultured bacterium. Its description in RNAcentral is "partial 16S ribosomal RNA". It matches the Rfam family "Bacterial small subunit ribosomal RNA", at positions 562 to 791 of the family's 1533-position model. The record is from RNAcentral.